Long non-coding RNA from Gadus macrocephalus (Pacific cod), 415 nucleotides. RefSeq lists it as uncharacterized. The transcript is spliced from 3 exons. The record is from RefSeq and is a predicted model, not a curated record. Lineage: Eukaryota; Metazoa; Chordata; Actinopteri; Gadiformes; Gadidae.
CCACCAGCUCGUUGUGCUACGGGGGGAAGACCGGGCUCAUGAAUCCCUUAGAGCGCCCCCCAGUGGCGACCAGCCGUAAGGCCUCUACCUCCGUAGCAGUAAGGGUUGUUACGGUGGCAGGUCGUUAGGUGGGCAGGUCGAUAGGGUAGUGGAUGUUAGGGUGGUAGUCGCUAGGGUACGGGUCGUUACAGUACGGCUCGUUAGGGUGGCAGGUCGUUAGAGUAGUAGGUCGUUAGGUGGGCAGGUCGUUAGGUGGGCAGGUCGUUACGCUACGAGUCGUUACGGUAACAACCUGUACUGUAACGACCUGUAACCUAAGUGGUCGUUGCUUAUUGAGCUUUUGUUGACAUUUAAUUGAGUUCAUAUGCAUUUCCCUCCCUCUCCAAGCUACGCAGCGUUGACUUCAUGCUCCCCA